This 159-nucleotide unclassified non-coding RNA is filed under the name uncultured Ascomycota. RNAcentral's name for it is "sequence contains ITS2". Lineage: Eukaryota; Fungi; Ascomycota. The record is from RNAcentral.
CACAGUCAAGCACAGCUUGGUGAUGGGCGACCGCCCCCGCCCCCGCGCGGAAGGGCCCGCCUCGAAUGCAUCCGGCAGCUGGCACAUCGGGAGUUGCAGCGCAGCACAGUCGCGUAGCAGCACCGGGAGCCGCCCACCGGGAGUCGAAGACACACCGAA